RNAcentral lists this ribosomal RNA (506 nucleotides) under uncultured bacterium. Its description in RNAcentral is "partial 16S ribosomal RNA". It matches the Rfam family "Bacterial small subunit ribosomal RNA", at positions 29 to 523 of the family's 1533-position model. The record is from RNAcentral.
AGUGAACGCUGGCGGUAGGCCUAACACAUGCAAGUCGAACGGCAGCACAGGAGAGCUUGCUCUCUGGGUGGCGAGUGGCGGACGGGUGAGGAAUACAUCGGAAUCCACUCUGUCGCGGGGGAUAACGUCGGGAAACUUACGCUAAUACCGCAUACUACCUACGGGUGAAAGCAGGGAAUCUUCGGACCUCGCGCGAUUGAAUGAGCCGAUGUCGGAUUGGCUAGUUGGGGGGGUAAAGGCCCACCAAGGCGACGAUCCGUAGCAGGUCUGAGAGAAUGAUCAGCCACACGGGAACUGAGACACGGUCCAGACUCCUACGGGAGGCAGCAGUGGGGAAUAUUGGACAAUGGGCGCAAGCCUGAUCCAGCCAUACCGCGUGGGUGAAGAAGGCCUUCGGGUUGUAAAGCCCUUUUGUUGGAAAAGAAAUCCAGCUGGCUAAUACCCGGUUGGGAUGACGGUACCCAAAGAAUAAGCACCGGCUAACUUCGUGCCAGCAGCCGCCGUAA